UGAACGCUGGCGGUAGGCCUAACACAUGCAAGUCGACCGGCAGCACAGGAGAGCUUGCUCUCUAGGUGGCGAGUGGCGGACGGGUGAGGAAUACAUCGGAAUCUGCCCAGUCGUGGGGGAUAACGUAGGGAAACUUACGCUAAUACCGCAUACGACCUUCGGGUGAAAGAGGGGGAUCGCAAGACCUCUCGCGAUUGGAUGAGCCGAUGUCGGAUUAGCUAGUUAGCGGGGUAAUGGCCCACCAAGGCGACGAUCCGUAGCUGGUCUGAGAGGAUGAUCAGCCACACUGGAACUGAGACACGGUCCAGACUCCUACGGGAGGCAGCAGUGGGGAAUAUUGGACAAUGGGCGCAAGCCUGAUCCAGCCAUACCGCGUGGGUGAAGAAGGCCUUCGGGUUGUAAAGCCCUUUUGUUGGGAAAGAAAUCUUUCAGGCUAAUACCCUGGGAGGAUGACGGCACCCAAAGAAUAAGCACCGGCUAACUUCGU
This 487-nucleotide ribosomal RNA is filed under the name uncultured bacterium. RNAcentral's name for it is "partial 16S ribosomal RNA". It matches the Rfam family "Bacterial small subunit ribosomal RNA", at positions 30 to 506 of the family's 1533-position model. The record is from RNAcentral.